GGCACCAUGGUGUAGAGAUUAUCACAUCUGCCUAACACGCAGAAGGUCCCCAGUUCGAGCCUGUGGUGUCA
Molecule: transfer RNA, 71 nt
Filed under: Hofstenia miamia
Lineage: Eukaryota; Metazoa; Xenacoelomorpha; Acoela; Hofsteniidae
Description: tRNA-Val for anticodon AAC
Rfam family: tRNA
About the family: Transfer RNA (tRNA) molecules are approximately 80 nucleotides in length.
Source: RNAcentral